Molecule: ribosomal RNA, 483 nt
Filed under: uncultured bacterium
Lineage: Bacteria
Description: partial 16S ribosomal RNA
Rfam family: Bacterial small subunit ribosomal RNA
Source: RNAcentral
GUGAACGCUGGCGGCAGGCCUAACACAUGCAAGUCGAGCGGCAGCGGGUCCUUCGGGAUGCCGGCGAGCGGCGGACGGGUGAGGAAUGCGUCGGAAUCUGCCUUUUUGUGGGGGAUAACGUAGGGAAACUUACGCUAAUACCGCAUACGACCUACGGGUGAAAGUGGGGGACCGCAAGGCCUCACGCAGAAAGAUGAGCCGACGUCGGAUUAGCUAGUUGGCGGGGUAAAGGCCCACCAAGGCGACGAUCCGUAGCUGGUCUGAGAGGAUGAUCAGCCACACUGGAACUGAGACACGGUCCAGACUCCUACGGGAGGCAGCAGUGGGGAAUAUUGGACAAUGGGCGCAAGCCUGAUCCAGCCAUGCCGCGUGUGUGAAGAAGGCCUUCGGGUUGUAAAGCACUUUUGUCCGGAAAGAAAUCCUGUCGGCUAAUACCCGGCGGGGAUGACGGUACCGGAAGAAUAAGCACCGGCUAACUUCGUG